AUUGAAAGCUGGCGGCAUGCCUUACACAUGCAAGUCGAACGGUAACAGGUCUUCGGAUGCUGACGAGUGGAGAACGGGUGAGUAAUACAUCGGAACGUGCCUAGUAGUGGGGGAUAACUAAUCGAAAGAGCGGCUAAUACAGCAUGAGAUAUACGGAUGAAAGCAGGGGAUAGCAAGACCUUGUGCUACUAAAGCGGCCGAGGGCAGAUUAGGUAGUUGGUGGAAUAAAAGAUUACCAAGCCGACGAUCUGUAGCUAGUCUGAGAGGACGAUCAGCCACACUGGGACUGAAACACAGCCCAGACGACUACAAGAGUCACCGAUGGGAAAGUUUGUACAAUGGUCGAAAGCCUGAUCCAGCAAUGCCGCGUGCAGGAUGAAGGCCUUCGGGUUGUAAACUGCUUUUGUACGGAACGAAAAGCCCCGGGUUAAUACCCUGGGGUCAUGACGUUACCGUAAGAAUAAGCACCGGCUAACUACGUGCCAGCCGCCGCAGUAA
RNAcentral lists this ribosomal RNA (498 nucleotides) under uncultured bacterium. RNAcentral's name for it is "partial 16S ribosomal RNA". It matches the Rfam family "Bacterial small subunit ribosomal RNA", at positions 30 to 523 of the family's 1533-position model. The record is from RNAcentral.